RNAcentral lists this ribosomal RNA (305 nucleotides) under uncultured bacterium. RNAcentral describes it as "bacterial SSU rRNA". It matches the Rfam family "Bacterial small subunit ribosomal RNA", at positions 334 to 653 of the family's 1533-position model. The record is from RNAcentral.
GUGACCUACGGGGCGCAGCAGUGGGGAAUAUUGCACAAUGGGGGGAACCCUGAUGCAGCAAUGCCGCGUGGGUGAAGAAGCACUCCGGUGCGUAAAGCCCUGUCAGCAGGGAAGAAAGAAAUGACGGUACCUGACCAAGAAGCCCCGGCUAACUACGUGCCAGCAGCCGCGGUAAUACGUAGGGGGCAAGCGUUAUCCGGAAUUACUGGGUGUAAAGGGAGCGUAGACGGUGAUGCAAGUCUGGAGUGAAAGGCGGGGGCCCAACCCCCGGACUGCUCUGGAAACUGUGUAACUUGAGUGCAGGG